GUGUAGCUCAGUUGGUAGAACACCUGCCUGACAUGCAUGAGGUCCUGGGUUCAAUCCCAGNAC
Molecule: transfer RNA, 63 nt
Filed under: Neotoma lepida (desert woodrat)
Lineage: Eukaryota; Metazoa; Chordata; Mammalia; Rodentia; Cricetidae
Rfam family: tRNA
About the family: Transfer RNA (tRNA) molecules are approximately 80 nucleotides in length. Their secondary structure includes four short double-helical elements and three loops (D, anti-codon, and T loops). Further hydrogen bonds mediate the characteristic L-shaped molecular structure. tRNAs have two regions of fundamental functional importance: the anti-codon, which is responsible for specific mRNA codon recognition, and the 3' end, to which the tRNAs corresponding amino acid is attached (by aminoacyl-tRNA synthetases). tRNAs cope with the degeneracy of the genetic code in two manners: having more than one tRNA (with a specific anti-codon) for a particular amino acid; and 'wobble' base-pairing, i.e. permitting non-standard base-pairing at the 3rd anti-codon position.
Source: Rfam by way of RNAcentral